AGCAGGAAGGGUUUGGGGGUGGUUGUUUCUUUUUUUGUCCACUAUUCACGCUUUAGGAUUCCAUGGGGUGACACUCGAAUUCUUUGGAAGUGUUUUACAACUGGUGCUGGGACUGAUGCAGUACCUCUACUUUGAUGUUUAAUCAAGGCUCAGAAAGUCCGUUGCCAUGGACACAGAGGACCAGGAUGGCGUGACUGUUGCCAUUCCCCUCAUGCACUGGUUAAAACUGACCUUUAAAAGUUCCAUGUUGAAGUCUAACCCAGUGCAUCAGAAUAUGACUAUUUGAGACAGGUUCUUUGAAGACAUAAUUAAGUUAGGAGGACAUUGGAGUGGCCCUAACUCACUAUAACUGGUGUUUGGGAUGUCUGGACUUCAGUCCCAGAAGAACCUGUAAAGACAUUGCACUAUCACAAGCCAAGGGGAGAGGCCUUGAAGAAACCAGUCUGCAGGUAUGUUGAUCUUGGACUUCUACACUGUAGAAUUGUGGGAAAAAUUAAUAUUUGCUUUCUAAGUCACCCACUUGGUGGAACUUUGUUUUGGCAUCUGUACCAGACUAAUACUAAUGCAGAAAGUUUGGCCCCACACAGAUAAAUAGCUGGAAAAGGUAGACUAUUGUAAUGGUCUUUUCAGAUCAUUGUAAAUAUUCCUCUUUGAUAGUGUACUCAAACUUGAAUAUUGAUAGUUCAUCUUAUAGGUUAGUAGCACUGUGCAAUCUGAAACCAUAUGAAUUAACUUUUUGUUCUCUCAUAUUAAAAAUCUGCAGGUUUGCAUUGUUCU
Molecule: long non-coding RNA, 777 nt
Organism: Sciurus carolinensis (gray squirrel)
Lineage: Eukaryota; Metazoa; Chordata; Mammalia; Rodentia; Sciuridae
Exons: 3
Source: RefSeq, a predicted model, not a curated record